RNAcentral lists this microRNA precursor (154 nucleotides) under Tupaia belangeri (northern tree shrew). RNAcentral describes it as "miRNA (ENSTBEG00000020034.1)". Lineage: Eukaryota; Metazoa; Chordata; Mammalia; Scandentia; Tupaiidae. The record is from RNAcentral.
AAUAUAGAAUGUCUGCUUAAAUUUGAAUUUCAGAUAACACGACUUUUAAAAAAAAAUAUAUAAGUAUGUCCCAUGCAAUAUUUGGGACAUAAUUAUACUAAAACAUGUUUGUUGUUAAUCUGAAAUUCAAAUUAAACUGGGGCUCUUGUGCUUU